This 373-nucleotide ribosomal RNA is filed under the name uncultured eukaryote. RNAcentral's name for it is "SSU rRNA". It matches the Rfam family "Eukaryotic small subunit ribosomal RNA", at positions 587 to 972 of the family's 1831-position model. The record is from RNAcentral.
AGCUCCAAUAGCGUAUAUUAACGUUGUUGCAGUUAAAAAGCUCGUAGUUGAAUCUGUGAUGCUGUCCCUGAUCCCAUCGUGGUUUCACGGGCACAGUGUCUUCUUUGGGUGGAAUGUGUCUGGCAUUAGGUUGUCGGGCACGGGAUGCCCAUCUUUUACUGUGAGAAAAUUAGAGUGUUCCAAACAGGCUUAUGCCGUUGAAUAUGUUAGCAUGGAAUAAUGUAAUAGGACUUUUGUUCUGUUCAUUGGUUUGGGUUCAAAAGUAAUGAUUGAUAGAAAUUGUUGUGGGUUUUCGUAUUCCAUUGUCAGAGGUGAAAUUCUUGGAUUUUUGGAAGACGAACUACUGCGAAAGCAUUAACCAAGGAUGUUUUCA